UACGUAGGGCGCAAGCGUUGUCCGGAAUUACUGGGCGUAAAGGGCGCGUAGGUGGCCAACUAAGUCAGACGUGAAAUCCCUCGGCUUAACCGGGGAACUGCGUCUGAUACUGGAUGGCUUGAGUUUGGGAGAGGGACGCGGAAUUCCAGGUGUAGCGGUGAAAUGCGUAGAUAUCUGGAGGAACACCGGUGGCGAAGGCGGCGUCCUGGACCAAUACUGACACUGAAACGCGAAAGCCAGGGGAGCAAACGGG
This 253-nucleotide ribosomal RNA is filed under the name uncultured bacterium. RNAcentral's name for it is "partial 16S ribosomal RNA". It matches the Rfam family "Bacterial small subunit ribosomal RNA", at positions 524 to 776 of the family's 1533-position model. The record is from RNAcentral.